AGAGUUUGAUCCUGGCUCAGGACGAACGCUGGCGGCGUGCUUAACACAUGCAAGUCGAACGGAAAGGCCCUUCGGGGUACUCGAGUGGCGAACGGGUGAGUAACACGUGGGUGAUCUGCCCUGCACUUUGGGAUAAGCCUGGGAAACUGGGUCUAAUACCGAAUAUGACCAUGCACUUCCUGGUGUGUGGUGGAAAGCUUUUGCGGUGUGGGAUGGGCCCGCGGCCUAUCAGCUUGUUGGUGGGGUAAUGGCCUACCAAGGCGACGACGGGUAGCCGGCCUGAGAGGGUGACCGGCCACACUGGGACUGAGAUACGGCCCAGACUCCUACGGGAGGCAGCAGUGGGGAAUAUUGCACAAUGGGCGCAAGCCUGAUGCAGCGACGCCGCGUGAGGGAUGACGGCCUUCGGGUUGUAAACCUCUUUCAGCACAGACGAAGCGCAAGUGACGGUACGUGCAGAAGAAGGACCGGCCAACUACGUGCCAGCAGCCGCGGUAAUACGUAGGGUCCGAGCGUUGUCCGGAAUUACUGGGCGUAAAGAGCUCGUAGGUGGUUUGUCGCGUUGUUCGUGAAAACUCACAGCUUAACUGUGGGCGUGCGGGCGAUACGGGCAGACUUGAGUACUGCAGGGGAGACUGGAAUUCCUGGUGUAGCGGUGGAAUGCGCAGAUAUCAGGAGGAACACCGGUGGCGAAGGCGGGUCUCUGGGCAGUAACUGACGCUGAGGAGCGAAAGCGUGGGGAGCGAACAGGAUUAGAUACCCUGGUAGUCCAA
Molecule: ribosomal RNA, 773 nt
Filed under: uncultured bacterium
Lineage: Bacteria
Description: bacterial SSU rRNA
Rfam family: Bacterial small subunit ribosomal RNA
Source: RNAcentral